RNAcentral lists this unclassified non-coding RNA (325 nucleotides) under air metagenome. Its description in RNAcentral is "partial contains small subunit ribosomal RNA, internal transcribed spacer 1, and 5.8S ribosomal RNA". The stretch from base 1 to 46 matches the Rfam family "Eukaryotic small subunit ribosomal RNA", at positions 1786 to 1831 of the family's 1831-position model. The record is from RNAcentral.
AAGUCGUAACAAGGUUUCCGUAGGUGAACCUGCGGAAGGAUCAUUAUUGAAUUUAGUGUGGAGGUUGUUGCUGGCUCUUUGGAGCAUGUGCACACUUCUUACAUCUAUAUUUUUCUCCACCUGUGCACCUCUUGUAGACUUGGAUAUCUCUCAAAAGUUUAACUUUUGGAUGUGAGAAUUGUUGUUUGCUUCUUUUUGAAGUCAGCUCUUUUCAAACUUUCAAGUCUAUGUUUUUAACACACUCUUUGAAAAAUUUAAUGAAUGUCAAUGGUCAUCUAGACCUUAAACUUAAAUACAACUUUCAACAAUGGAUCUCUUGGUUCUC